UCGGGAAUAUUGCGCAAUGGAGGAAACUCUGACGCAGUGACGCCGCGUGCAGGAAGAAGGUUUUCGGAUUGUAAACUGCUUUAGACAGGGAAGAAACAAGACAGUACCUGUAGAAUAAGCUCCGGCUAACUACGUGCCAGCAGCCGCGGUAAUACGUAGGGAGCAAGCGUUAUCCGGAUUUUAUUGGGUGUAAAGGGUGCGUAGACGGGAAUGCAAGUUGGUUGUGAAAUCCCUCGGCUCAACCGAGGAAUUGCAACCAAAACUAUAUUUCUUGAGUGCUGGAGAGGAAAGUGGAAUUCCUAGUGUAGCGGUGAAAUGCGUAGAUAUUAGGAGGAACACCAGUGGCGAAGGCGACUUUCUGGACAGUAACUGACGUUGAGGCACGAAAGUGUGGGGAGCAAACAGGAUUAGAUACCC
RNAcentral lists this ribosomal RNA (417 nucleotides) under uncultured bacterium. RNAcentral describes it as "bacterial SSU rRNA". It matches the Rfam family "Bacterial small subunit ribosomal RNA", at positions 355 to 787 of the family's 1533-position model. The record is from RNAcentral.